Molecule: ribosomal RNA, 396 nt
Filed under: uncultured bacterium
Lineage: Bacteria
Description: partial 16S ribosomal RNA
Rfam family: Bacterial small subunit ribosomal RNA
Source: RNAcentral
AUACGUAGGGGGCAAGCGUUAUCCGGAUUUACUGGGUGUAAAGGGAGCGUAGACGGCGAAGCAAGUCUGAAGUGAAAGGACGGGGCCCAACCCCGGAACUGCUUUGGAAACUGUUUGGCUGGAGUGCGGGAGGGGCAAGCGGAAUUCCUAGUGUAGCGGUGAAAUGCGUAGAUAUUAGGAGGAACACCGGUGGCGAAGGCGGCUUACUGGACCGUAACUGACGUUGAGGCUCGAAGGCGUGGGGAGCAAACAGGAUUAGAUACCCUGGUAGUCCACGCGGUAAACGAUGAUCACUAGGUGUCCGUGGGUAUGACCCAUGGGUGCCGCAGCCAACGCAAUAAGUGAUCCACCUGGGGAGUACGUUCGCAAGAAUGAAACUCAAAUGAAUUGACGGGG